RNAcentral lists this long non-coding RNA (2014 nucleotides) under Podarcis lilfordi (Lilford's wall lizard). The record is from RNAcentral. Lineage: Eukaryota; Metazoa; Chordata; Lepidosauria; Squamata; Lacertidae.
CAGAUAGCAACGCUCAGUGGUGGUAAGGAGACAAAUGCCAGCUCAGCUUAAAAUGCUACCAAUCUCUGCUUCUUCGCAAGCUCUGUUUUGGGCGUUUAUUUUACUCGCGUGACUCUUAAUUCUCACAAGAAAAGCAGGGGGGCACUCUCUCUGGCCCCCUGCACCGCAUCAGUGUCCCGUAAGUUGAAAAGUGGACGGCCUUUGCAGCAGGGAGACUCCCCUCCUCAUGGAUGUAGUGCGAAUGGCCUGUCUCUUAAGCGACAUGUCUGCUCUGUAAUUCAAAGUGCUUGUGUGAGUGUCUGGAGGCGGUUGGAGGCAUAGCUGUCAACAUUUCCCUUUUUUAAAGGGAAAUUCUCUUAUUCCAAAUAGGAUUCCUUGCAAGAAAAGGGAAAAGUUGACAGCUAUGGUUGGAGGAUGGGUGGCGGCUAACGGACUGAGGUUGAAUCCUGACAAGACAGAAGUACUGUUCUUGGGGGACAGGGGGCGGGCUGGUGUGGAGGACUCCCUGGUCCUGAAUAGGGUAACUGUGCCCCUGAAGGACCAGGUGCGCAGCCUGGGAGUCAUUUUGGACUCACAGCUGUCCAUGGAGGCAUAGGUCAAUUCUGUGUCCAGGGCAACUGUUUAACAGCUCCAUCUGGUACGCAGACUGAGACCCUACCUGCUUGCCAAAGUGGUGUAUGCUGUAGUUAUCUCCCGCUUGGACUACUGCAAUGCGCUCUACAUGGGGCUACCUUUGAAUGUGACCCGGAAACUACAACUAAUCCAGAAUGUGGCAGCUAGAUUGGUGACUGGGAAUGGCUGCCAAGACCAUAUAACACCGGUCCUGAAAGACCUACAUUGGCUCCCAGUAUGCUUCCAAGCACAAUUCAAAGUGUUGGUGCUGACCUUUAAAGCCCUAAACGGCCUCGGCCCAGUAUACCUGAAGGAGCGUCUCCACCCCCAUCACUCAGCCUGGACACUGAGGUUCAGCUCCAAGGGCCUUCUGUAGGUUCCCUCACUGCGAGAAGUAAAGUUACAGGGAAUCAGGCAGAGGGCCUUCUCGGUAGUGGCGCCCGCCCUGUGGAAUGCCCUCCCACCAGAUGUCAAAGAGAAAAACAACUACCAGACUUUUAGAAGACAGCCCUGUUUAGCAAAGUUUUUAAUGACUGAUGUUUUAAUCUGUAUUUUUAAUCUUUUGUUGGAAGCCACCCAGAGUGGCUGGGAAAACCCAGCAAGAUGGGUGGGAUAUAAAUAAAUUAUUAUUAUUAUUAUUAUUAUUAUUAUUAUUAUUAUUAUUAUUAUUAAAGUCCUCUCCCAUUUCUGGGUGUACAUACCUGUAUAGCUCAGGGGAAAUGAGUUCAACCCUUCGUCUUGCUUUGGUAGCAAGUCCAAGCUGCUAGGUUGAGUUGCUGUCCUGUUGACAUAAACACAGCCGUUCACGUUCUCCUGACUCCUGCAACUUCCUGGCAUUAGGGCGGACCUGGUAGCCAGUAGUUUUCAUGAUUCUGUCCUGCUUUUAAUGUUUAUUUUAUUAAAUAAUGUUUUUUCUGUUGCCGCGCACCACUCUGAUAUGUAAAUACCUUUAUGUAAAGUGUGCAAAUACUUCUAUAAAUAAAUAAACAGAAGCCUCUGUGAGAGGCCAAAUGCUAAUUUGGGAGAGAGGGGAACUCCUUUCUCUUCCACUUCCCUUCCUGCUCGUAGUGCUGUUAAUUGCACAGAUUAAUAUCAGUUAAUGCCUAUGCCAUAGUUUUAAUGAAACUGAAUGGAAAGCAGAUAGAUUCUCACGUGUAUUUCCAUUGUCUAUACGGUACACAUUCUAUGAGGGAUAAACAAUCACAUUGCCCAUGUCUGCAUUAGAUCUGUUGCAGCUGUGCAAGCAUCUGUGGCUACACAUGAAGGCGGCUGAUGUCACUGCGGGAAUGGAUAACGCGACAAUAUCUGCUCUUCCCCGGUGGCGACAGGCAGCCUUUCCUUAGCAUUUAAGUUUCCGGAGAGACGCCUCGUUAUUUCAAAUUGAUGGAGAAGGAAAGGAAUC